Homo sapiens (human) is the source of this 1788-nucleotide long non-coding RNA. Ensembl annotates it as mir-99a-let-7c cluster host gene. Its record names the gene MIR99AHG. The record is from Ensembl. NCBI's taxonomy places the organism in Eukaryota, Metazoa, Chordata, Mammalia, Primates, Hominidae.
GUGCUUUUUGUUUUUUUUUUUUGUUUUUUUUGCCUUUUCUGACUGGUGAUUUGUAUUUUUGUUUUAUUUAUUUAUUUAUUUUUUAGGUUACUACCUUUCUGCUUGUAGAAGAAUCCAAGUAGUUGGGUCUUUUUUUUUUUGGUUUAUAAUGAACAGGCAUUUGAACUGGGCAAACAGGACGACAGCAGCAGUGAGCAUGAGAUCAUUGCAUUGCAGCACUGUAGCAAACUGGCACCCUGCCUUUGCACCCCUUUGGUUCAGGAGACAAACGUGUGUAAUCCUCAUUUCUAAAGUCAGCACAGCCUGGAAGGAUUCCUGGUCUCUCCCACCUUCUACCAUUCUGCUGCCAGUGACGGCAAGGAUUGGUGUAGCUUCUGCGCAGUGCUUUGUGCCUGGAAUACCGAGAAGGAAGAAAAAGAAGACAAGCACCCUGGUCCUUUUCUAAGAAAUUACAGGCGCCCUUGAAGAAAAAAUCUGAGUGUGUCCUACUACAUGCAAGAGUGCUGGAAAAAAAAAAAAAAAAAAAAAAAAAAAGAGACGCUCCUGCUCAAAAACAAAAACAAAAGCAAACAAACAAAAAUCCAAACCAAAACAAACCAAAAAAAGCAAACAUUGGCUGUAUAACUACAGAGACAUCGGGCUUUGUAAAUCAGCUUUUUAAGGCAACAUAACCAAAUGAGCCUUCUUUAUUUUUAUUAUUUCAAACCAUAUGGCAUAAUUAGCAAUAUAUUGCACUUGGUGAAAUCGCACCUUUCAUAUCAGGGAAAAACUUAAAAUGGAUAUGAAAAGUGAAGAAAGUGAUCAUAGGAGAAAACCAUUUCAGGUGUCUGAUGAUUUGUGAGCCUCAAGUGACUACUCUGUGGAAUCAUCUGUCCUUGCCUUUGAAUUAGCUUUCCCUAGGCCAUGAGUCAACAUUAGUAGUUUAUACAUCCAAAUUGAUGACAAGAGCACCUCAAAGGCAGCAGCCUCAAGGAGCAGCCAUGGCCCCAGACUUGUCGCACGGAUGCAGAAAACUUAAUGGAGGAGGCUGAGGUCAGAAUGGGAAGAGUUUUUAAAAAAUAAAAAGGGGAGCUAAUAUGUGAGGAACUGAUUGCUGUGCAUUAUUUUCCACUGAACAGACCUUCUUUUAACUUCUAAUCUCAAGCACAUAGCAGCUGUUGUUUUCAUAUUAAAGAUCAGUAAGUGUUUGUUGAAUGAAUGUAUAAAUUCUUCCCCAAUCUCUGUUCCAUGUAAUAAGAACUAAGUUAGCAUUCAAUUAUAAAGAGGACUUAGAAAGUCUGCAGACAUUUUUGAUCAAAAAUCCUUUUAACUGUCUUCUUAUGGUUCCCGGUAACACCUAAGCCCAAAAAACUCAGGUCAUUUCUUGCCUGUACUGUUGCAAUAGCCUCAUAAUAACUAGUCUUCUCCUUUAUCAACCACAGUCGUCUCCGCUACACAAAGAAGAGAGGGUGCUAAUCUAAAGUGUAAAUUAUUUUAAAUCAGCACCCUUCUUGUAAUUUCCCAGUGGUUUUUCCUGUCAUAAGAAUAACAUGCAAAAUUCCUUGCUUGCAAAGCCAGGUAUGACCUUGCCCCGUCUACCUUACUGGCAUCGUCUCUCAUGACUCUUCCCCUUUUUCACUCUCCAUCUUGCCUUUUCCCAACCAUGCCUGCUAGUGAGCCUUAGCCCUUGUGUUUUCUCUGCCAGGGAUGCAUGACUGGCUUCUUUACUUUAUUCUGAUCUCUCUGCUCAAAUGUCAUCUUUUUAGAGAUAGCUUUCCUAAACAUCUUUAAAAGUACCCCAUGAACUGU